RNAcentral lists this RNase P RNA (402 nucleotides) under Limimaricola sp. RNAcentral describes it as "RNase P RNA component class A". It matches the Rfam family "Bacterial RNase P class A". Rfam says of the family: Ribonuclease P (RNase P) is a ubiquitous endoribonuclease, found in archaea, bacteria and eukarya as well as chloroplasts and mitochondria. The record is from RNAcentral. Lineage: Bacteria; Pseudomonadati; Pseudomonadota; Alphaproteobacteria; Rhodobacterales; Paracoccaceae.
GCGGAUGGCUGGAUGAUCGCGGGCCGGGAAACCGGUUCGAGGAAAGUCCGGACUCCAUGAAGGCAAGGGUGCCGGGUAACGCCCGGCUGGGGUAACCCAAGGGAAAGCGCCACAGAGAACAGACCGCCCCGGCCUGCCGGGGUAAGGGUGAAACGGUGGGGCAAGAGCCCACCGCGGACGUGGCAACACGGACGGCACGGCAAGCCCCACCCGGAGCAAUGCCAAAUAGGGGCCUCGGGCCGGUGUGAUCCUCGCAAGAGGAUAUCCCGGCAGGGACGCCUGACCCGAGAGGCCCGGGUUGGCAGCUUGAGGCGCGGCGGCAACGUCUGCGUCCAGAGGAAUGGUCAUCCAACGGGGGGCAACCCCCGGGGACAGAAUCCGGCUUACAGGCCAUCCGCGCAU